GUCGAACGAUGAUGCCCAGCUUGCUGGGCGGAUUAGUGGCGAACGGGUGAGUAAUACGUGAGUAACCUGCCCUUGACUCUGGGAUAAGCCUGGGAAACUGGGUCUAAUACUGGAUACUACCUCUUGCCGCAUGGUGGGUGGUGGAAAGGGUUUUACUGGUUUUGGAUGGGCUCACGGCCUAUCAGCUUGUUGGUGGGGUAAUGGCUCACCAAGGCGACGACGGGUAGCCGGCCUGAGAGGGUGACCGGCCACACUGGGACUGAGACACGGCCCAGACUCCUACGGGAGGCAGCAGUGGGGAAUAUUGCACAAUGGGCGGAAGCCUGAUGCAGCGACGCCGCGUGAGGGAUGACGGCCUUCGGGUUGUAAACCUCUUUCAGUAGGGAAGAAGCGAGAGUGACGGUACCUGCAGAAGAAGCGCCGGCUAACUACGUGCCAGCAGCCGCGGUAAUACGUAGGGCGCAAGCGUUGUCCGGAAUUAUUGGGCGUAAAGAGCUCGUAGGCGGUUUGUCGCGUCUGCUGUGAAAGCCCGGGGCUCAACCCCGGGUCUGCAGUGGGUACGGGCAGACUAGAGUGCAGUAGGGGAGACUGGAAUUCCUGGUGUAGCGGUGAAAUGCGCAAUAUAUCAGGAGGAACACCGAUGGCGAAGGCAGGUCUCUGGGCUGUUACUGAUGCUGAGGAGCGAAAGCUGGGGAGGAACAUGAUUAGAUACCCUGGU
This 718-nucleotide ribosomal RNA is filed under the name Kocuria sp. 1PNM-16. RNAcentral's name for it is "bacterial SSU rRNA". It matches the Rfam family "Bacterial small subunit ribosomal RNA", at positions 61 to 791 of the family's 1533-position model. Lineage: Bacteria; Bacillati; Actinomycetota; Actinomycetes; Micrococcales; Micrococcaceae. The record is from RNAcentral.